Molecule: unclassified non-coding RNA, 246 nt
Filed under: uncultured Coniochaetales
Lineage: Eukaryota; Fungi; Ascomycota; Sordariomycetes; Coniochaetales
Description: sequence contains 5.8S rRNA gene, ITS2, 28S rRNA gene
Rfam family: 5.8S ribosomal RNA (bases 1-52)
Source: RNAcentral
AACGCACAUUGCGCCCGCUAGUACUCUAGCGGGCAUGCCUGUUCGAGCGUCAUUUCAACCCUCAAGCUCUGCUUGGUGCUGGGGCUCUACGUCUGACGUAGGCCCUGAAAGGAAGUGGCGGGCUCGCUACAACUCCGAGCGUAGUAAUUCAUUAUCUCGCUAGGGAAGUGUGGCGUUCUCCCGUUAAAGACCCCAUCUUUAACCAAGGUUGACCUCGGAUCAGGUAGGAAUACCCGCUGAACUUAA